GGGGUUGUGGCUCAGGGGUACAGUGCCCACCUAGCACAUGUGAGGCACUGGGUUCAAUCCUCAGCACCACA
RNAcentral lists this transfer RNA (71 nucleotides) under Marmota monax (woodchuck). Its description in RNAcentral is "tRNA.Ala". Lineage: Eukaryota; Metazoa; Chordata; Mammalia; Rodentia; Sciuridae. The record is from RNAcentral.